RNAcentral lists this ribosomal RNA (467 nucleotides) under uncultured bacterium. Its description in RNAcentral is "partial 16S ribosomal RNA". It matches the Rfam family "Bacterial small subunit ribosomal RNA", at positions 30 to 507 of the family's 1533-position model. The record is from RNAcentral.
AGUGAACGCUGGCGGUAGGCCUAACACAUGCAAGUCGAACGGCAGCACAGUAAGAGCUUGCUCUUACGGGUGGCGAGUGGCGGACGGGUGAGGAAUACAUCGGAAUCUACUUUUUCGUGGGGGAUAACGUAGGGAAACUUACGCUAAUACCGCAUACGACCUACGGGUGAAAGCAGGGGAUCUUCGGACCUUGCGCGAUUGAAUGAGCCGAUGUCGGAUUAGCUAGUUGGCGGGGUAAAGGCCCACCAAGGCGACGAUCCGUAGCUGGUCUGAGAGGAUGAUGAGAGAGAACGGGACUGAGCCCCGGAACAGACUCCUACGGGAGGCAGCAGUGGGGAAUAUAGGACAAGGGGGGAAAGCAGGAACCACCAAGGCCGCGUGAGUGAUGAAGGCGGUAGGGUUGUAAAGCUCGUUUACCCGGGACGAGAAUGACAGUACCGGGAGAAUAAGCUCCGGCUAACUCCGUG